This 1131-nucleotide ribosomal RNA is filed under the name Triticum aestivum (bread wheat). RNAcentral describes it as "partial small subunit ribosomal RNA". The record is from RNAcentral. Lineage: Eukaryota; Viridiplantae; Streptophyta; Magnoliopsida; Poales; Poaceae.
AUGACAGCUGAGCAAGCCUUCCAAGCGAGGCUACAGGUUUGGCUACAGAACAAUGGUGCCUUCGGCCCCAUAGAUGGUGGGAAUCAGGAUGAAGAUGAGCCAGUGACCCCUGAUCAGCAGCAGGUUCCUCUGUUCAUUCUUCCUACUAAAGGUCAAGUUAAUUAUCGGGCUAUUUUAAGGCAGCAGGGAGUCUCUUUCGCUGAUGGAGUUGUUCCCUCUGAUAAUGUUUCUGACAGUCCUCUUUCAGCUUGGAAUGAUAAUGUAAGUGAGGGUAGCUCUGAAUCUUCGGAGGACUUUGGUCAGUUGAUUUUAGUUCCAGCACCAGUCUCAUUGUCAAUUAGUCUGUCCGACACUGCUGGAUCUCAUGUAGCUACCACUUUUACUAUCAAUGAUGCCAAUGUGCCUGAUUUGUUUUGCCUUGCUCGCUCUGUUAUUUUUGCCCUGCAGCAACCAUACAUUCACCAUGACUCUGUUUUGCUCCAGACCCCACCGCUGCCUUUGCACUUGAUUACAUGGAACUCUCAGUCUGAAGGUGAUGCAAACACCUCGAUCUUGUUGGCUCCUGUUCGUAAAGUGGCCAGGAAACUGUGGUUUGAGGACACUCCUACUUCCUCAAAUUUUCUGUUUUUGGUGGAGGAUGCUGAACCUUUUGCACAUAUCCCAUCCUCGGUGGUAAUUUCUGAUAUCUCUGAUGAUGAUUUUGUGGCUCAGGCUGAAGACAACCCUCUGGACCAUGCCUUGGUUCCGUCUGCUCCUCUUGUUGAACACCAAGUUUCUCCAUCUCGUAAAAGGGGCCGUAGGGCCCAGUCUGUUACUCCACUAAGCACUGCUGAUGUUCGUCGCAGUCCUCGCAGUAAUAAGUAUAUGGGUUUUAAAGUGGACCAGCCGUCUGAUUCUCGUGGCCAUAAAUCUCUGAUCAAGCCUCGUGUCACUAAUGCCGUUGAAGAUCCUGCUCCAAAUUCCAGCUCUAAUGAUGCCAGCUCUAGAUCAGCGCCACCACCUCCAACAACCAUCAGGUACAUUCAGCAGCUGGGCUCUAGGUUCUGUGGCAUCCCCCAUGAGGAGCUUGCAGAAGAUCGUCUGCUGGCUGUUGGAAACAUCUCCUCCGAUGAAAAUGAUGUUGGCCAGUAA